This 93-nucleotide transfer RNA is filed under the name Pleodorina starrii. RNAcentral describes it as "tRNA-Ser". The stretch from base 1 to 62 matches the Rfam family "tRNA". From Rfam's summary of the family: Transfer RNA (tRNA) molecules are approximately 80 nucleotides in length. Their secondary structure includes four short double-helical elements and three loops (D, anti-codon, and T loops). Lineage: Eukaryota; Viridiplantae; Chlorophyta; Chlorophyceae; Chlamydomonadales; Volvocaceae. The record is from RNAcentral.
GCACCUGUGGCCGAGUGGUUAAGGCGCGGCCCUGCUAAGGCCGUGGGGUCUCCCCGCGUGCGUUCAAUGGUUACCUCCCAAUGGAAAGUUGCG